UACACUCCUACGGGAGGCAGCAGUGGGGAAUAUUGGACAAUGGGCGCAAGCCUGAUCCAGCCAUGCCGCGUGAGUGAUGAAGGCCCUAGGGUUGUAAAGCUCUUUCACCGGUGAAGAUAAUGACGGUAACCGGAGAAGAAGCCCCGGCUAACUUCGUGCCAGCAGCCGCGGUAAUACGAAGGGGGCUAGCGUUGUUCGGAUUUACUGGGCGUAAAGCGCACGUAGGCGGACUAUUAAGUCAGGGGUGAAAUCCCGGGGCUCAACCCCGGAACUGCCUUUGAUACUGGUAGUCUUGAGUUCGAGAGAGGUGAGUGGAAUUCCGAGUGUAGAGGUGAAAUUCGUAGAUAUUCGGAGGAACACCAGUGGCGAAGGCGGCUCACUGGCUCGAUACUGACGCUGAGGUGCGAAAGCGUGGGGAGCAAACAGGAUUAGAAACCCUUGUAGUCCCAUGAU
Molecule: ribosomal RNA, 453 nt
Filed under: uncultured organism
Description: partial 16S ribosomal RNA
Rfam family: Bacterial small subunit ribosomal RNA
Source: RNAcentral